AUAUUUGUUUGCUCUUUCAUUGAACUGAUUCUGUACAUGCAUGUUCUCAUUAAAUAUAUUGUUUGGUAACAGUGUAGGAACUCAAUCCGAAUACAGAGGGGCUCUGUGAACAAAAUUCCAACAUAAAUAAUGCACUUAUGUUUUGUGAAAUCUUUUGGUUACCUAUCAACUUACUUAUGUCGUACAUUGUAAGAGAAGUGCACAAAUGAAGAAACAAAGACAAACCAAAGGAUACUUUUGGUGAGUCUAUAGCUUAAUUCCUAUUAGUAUCCAUGAUACAAGUUGAAUCCUAGAUGUAGAAAUAGACUAGGAGGGUGAUUUGUUUACUGGGAAGGACCAACCAUGUUACAUGAAACGAUUUAUAUUUACUGAUCUAUCAACAGCCAAUUAUAGUUUAUAUAUAUGAAUAUGAUGAAUCAUUUGUGCGAACUGUUUAAAGUACACAAAAAAAGGUAGGGAAAAAGAUAUAUGUGCACCUAUAACAGAGUCCGUAUAAUGCAAGGGACCGAUACCAUGUAAGGGGUUGCUUUCUAUCCAAUAUUCUUUAUACUGGUUUGCCACUGAUGAUCCAAUCUAAAUUCUGACCUUGUUUGAAGGAAAAACUGCAUUCUCUAGAUUGAGUAUCACGUGGUUCAUGGACCUUAUAAAUCAAGUUUAAAAUUUUAUUUUGAGAAAUUCCUUCUUCAUAUCCUGAGUCAAAAUUGACUACUCUUACAUACACACUCUGACUUUGUUUACUAUAAUCAUUUCUAAUCCCAUUUAAAUUAUAAUUGACCCGUGAAUGUUUUCUCAUGCUGCAUGCCACCAUAUUGCUUGUUAUCUUUUCCAUCUUGUGACUCUGAAUUUUCAAACAGUUGAGGUAGUCUAGGAUUUUUUUAAGUGACAUAUGUAAGUGUAUUUGAGAUGAAUAGUGCGGUUGUUCAUUUUUGUUUUAACUUUAAUUUGCAGGUGCAACAAUUAUUACUCAUUAAGUCAAUGCCUUAUAACACACUAGGGAAAAGUUUAGCUUUCUCCUUGGAGUGUCCACUGGAUGGUGCAACGUAUCUUCCACUAUAGAAUUUUGAUCAAUUGGUUAAAGUGUCUCAUAUUACAACCAUUGACUAUGCAAGAUGUGCCGUGUUGAGUUGUGUACAAUCUUGCGACGAGCGAAGGGAGAUGUUGUUCCAGAUUCUAUUUCUUUUGGCUUUGGCAAAUCCUUAAAUUUCCUUUGUUCUCGAAAUGAGACAAUUCAUCCAUCAACAAGAGGAUAUUACCACCCCGUUUUUCUACAAGGUCUACUUUCAGAUGAGGGCAAGAAUUUAUGUUGCUUAAACAAGUUUGUUGAUCUCCUGCCACAUCUUGGAAAGAAUUAGAGUCCAGCAAUGAUUGCUCGACUACUGCUAAUGGCAAAUAUUGCAUCUGGAUAUAUGUUCAUGGGGACUAAGACUCCUUAUAUAUUUACCUCAUAAGUUGAUGGAUUGUCCUUCAUCAAGAGGUGGUUCCAGAAGUUUCAGUUUGGUAGGAGAUGAUAAUUAAGUGCAGUGCAUCAAAUUAUCAACACCCGCAUAUGAGAUAGUGAAGUGAUUUAUGCAAGUCAUGUUUACAAACAUUUAGUACAACAUUCGCGCUCCAAAUUUAUGUGGAAGUAUUCUGAUGAUCUGUUAAUCUCCACUAAAGGCAGAUGUUUGGACCAAACCCAAACCAAGUGAGGCAAAAGAGUUUUUGGGGCGUUUACACAAAGCUAAAGUAUUUAACAUGACCAAGUACGAGAAAGGUAAUUCAACAGUAGAAUUUAAAUUUGGACAGAAAAGAGAACAUGGAUAUGUUGUACAUUCUUAAGCUUUUUUGAGUGCUUUUCAACUUUGGCCAAGUGAACUAUUCAUCUUCUUGUGAAGUACACCAAUCUUUUUCCUCUUAUAUUAUAGUUGGUACAAAUGGUCAGCUAUAGCACCUUGCACGCAAUUUCAAGCUAUUUCCUUUUCAUGUUUUGUUUAUUUGACCUUCAUUGGUUAGAUUUAAGUGUCAUGUAAGGGGCGAACAUCUGUUUUAAUACUGAUGCAGUUACAUGUACAUUUGAGUGUACUAUUAUGGAUCUAAACCAUGAUUUAUAAAUUAAGAUAAAAGUUGUAGAGGAAUGAAUUGUAUAUCCAACAAAGAGAAAGAGAAACAAAUAUUGUCAUUAGUUUGCAUAGUCUGUUGAGAUAUGAGCACCAUAAGCACUGGCAAUUUAUUCUUCCU
This is an RNA transcript of Lycium ferocissimum, 2217 nucleotides long. RefSeq lists it as uncharacterized. The transcript is spliced from 4 exons. NCBI's taxonomy places the organism in Eukaryota, Viridiplantae, Streptophyta, Magnoliopsida, Solanales, Solanaceae. The record is from RefSeq and is a predicted model, not a curated record.